This 138-nucleotide ribosomal RNA is filed under the name Ligidium beieri. RNAcentral describes it as "partial 16S ribosomal RNA". It matches the Rfam family "Bacterial large subunit ribosomal RNA", at positions 2465 to 2602 of the family's 2925-position model. Lineage: Eukaryota; Metazoa; Arthropoda; Malacostraca; Isopoda; Ligiidae. The record is from RNAcentral.
ACUUUAGGGAUAACAGCGCAGUUUUUCCAGAGAGUUCUAAUCGGCGGAAAAGAUUACGACCUCGAUGUUGAAUUGAAAUUCCUCCUGCAGAGCAGAAGCGCGGGAAGGGAGUCUGUUCGACUCUUAAAUUUUCACAUG